This 253-nucleotide ribosomal RNA is filed under the name uncultured bacterium. RNAcentral's name for it is "partial 16S ribosomal RNA". It matches the Rfam family "Bacterial small subunit ribosomal RNA", at positions 524 to 776 of the family's 1533-position model. The record is from RNAcentral.
UACGGAGGGUGCAAGCGUUAUCCGGAUUCACUGGGUUUAAAGGGUGCGUAGGUGGGCAGGUAAGUCAGUGGUGAAAUCUCUGGGCUUAACCCGGAAACUGCCAUUGAUACUAUCUGUCUUGAAUACCGUGGAGGUUAGCGGAAUAUGUCAUGUAGCGGUGAAAUGCUUAGAUAUGACAUAGAACAUCAAUUGCGAAGGCAGCUGGCUACACAAAUAUUGACACUGAUGCACGAAAGCGUGGGGAUCAAACAGG